AGUGAACGCUGGCGGUAGGCCUAACACAUGCAAGUCGAACGGCAGCACAGUAAGAGCUUGCUCUUACGGGUGGCGAGUGGCGGACGGGUGAGGAAUACAUCGGAAUCUACUUUUUCGUGGGGGAUAACGUAGGGAAACUUACGCUAAUACCGCAUACGACCUACGGGUGAAAGCAGGGGAUCUUCGGACCUUGCGCGAUUGAAUGAGCCGAUGUCGGAUUAGCUAGUUGGCGGGGUAAAGGCCCACCAAGGCGACGAUCCGUAGCUGGUCUGAGAGGAUGAGCAGCCACACUGGACCUGAGACACGGUCCAGACUCCUACGGGAGGCAGCAGUGGGAAUAUUGGACAAUGGGCGCAAGCCUGAUCCAGCCAUACCGCGUGGGUGAAGAAGGCCUUCGGGUUGUAAAGCCCUUUUGUUGGGAAAGAAAAGCAGCAGGUUAAUACCCCGCUGUUCUGACGGUACCCAAAGAAUAAGCACCGGCUAACUUCGUG
This 491-nucleotide ribosomal RNA is filed under the name uncultured bacterium. RNAcentral's name for it is "partial 16S ribosomal RNA". It matches the Rfam family "Bacterial small subunit ribosomal RNA", at positions 29 to 507 of the family's 1533-position model. The record is from RNAcentral.